ACGGGAGGCAGCAGUGGGGAAUAUUGGGCAAUGGGCGCAAGCCUGACCCAGCAACGCCGCGUGAGGGAAGAAGGCCUCGGGUUGUAAACUUCUUUUAUCAAGGACGAUAAUGACGGUACUUGAUGAAUAAGCCACGGCUAACUACGUGCCAGCAGCCGCGGUAAUACGUAGGUGGCAAGCGUUAUCCGGAUUUACUGGGUGUAAAGGGCGUGUAGGCGGGAUCGCAAGUCAGAUGUGAAAAUUAUGGGCUCAACCCAUAACCUGCAUUUGAAACUGUGAUUCUUGAGUGAUGGAGAGGUAAGUGGAAUUCCCAGUGUAGCGGUGAAAUGCGUAGAUAUUGGGAGGAACACCAGUGGCGAAGGCGACUUACUGGACAUUAACUGACGCUGAGGCGCGAAAGCGUGGGGAGCAAACAGGAUUAGAUACCCUGGUA
Molecule: ribosomal RNA, 433 nt
Filed under: uncultured Oscillospiraceae bacterium
Lineage: Bacteria; Bacillati; Bacillota; Clostridia; Eubacteriales; Oscillospiraceae
Description: bacterial SSU rRNA
Rfam family: Bacterial small subunit ribosomal RNA
Source: RNAcentral